AUUGAACGCUGGCGGCAUGCCUUACACAUGCAAGUCGAACGGUAACAGGUUAAGCUGCCGUGUGGCGAACGGGUGAGUAAUACAGCGGAACGUGCCCAGUAGUGGGGGAUAGCCCGGCGAAAGCCGGAUUAAUACCGCAUACGACCUAAGGUUGAAAGGGGGGGAUCGCAAGACCUCUCGCUAUUGGAGCGGCCGAUGUCAGAUUAGCUAGUUGGUGGGGUAAAGGCUCACCAAGGCGACGAUCUGUAGCUGGUCUGAGAGGACGACCAGCCACACUGGGACUGAGCACCGGCCCAGACUCCUACGGGAGGCAGCAGUGGGGAAUUUUGGACAAUGGGCGCAAGCCUGAUCCAGCCCUGCCGCGUGCGGGAAGAAGGCCUUCGGGUUGUAAACCGCUUUUGUCAGGGAAGAAAUCCUUUGGGUUAAUACCUCGGGGGGAUGACGGUACCUGAAGAAUAAGCACCGGCUAACUACGUG
This 477-nucleotide ribosomal RNA is filed under the name uncultured bacterium. RNAcentral's name for it is "partial 16S ribosomal RNA". It matches the Rfam family "Bacterial small subunit ribosomal RNA", at positions 30 to 507 of the family's 1533-position model. The record is from RNAcentral.